This 833-nucleotide long non-coding RNA is filed under the name Homo sapiens (human). Its description in RNAcentral is "HSALNT0396134". The record is from RNAcentral. Lineage: Eukaryota; Metazoa; Chordata; Mammalia; Primates; Hominidae.
AUCCGCCGGAAGGAGGGCGCAGCAUUGCCGGUCUUCUCAUUGCCUGGCUGCUAGAGGAAACCCGAAGUCGGGAUUCUUUCUUUCCUGCUCUGAGAGGGACCAGGUCCCUCCUCCGUAGCUUUUGUCUCUCUAUUGCCUGCGCCGUGUCCUGGACUGCUCACGGGAGUUCUGCAGGAGACGCCGGAAUAUCUGGAAGCUGAAAAAUGGAAAUAAAUGGAAAGACCAGAAUAUUGAAGAUCACUACAGAAAUCUAAGACAUCAGCCAACUGGAAACACAGACUCUCUGUGACAAUAAGAAACCAAAUUACAAACAAGACCUAAGGCCAUGCAAGGCAAGAGGUGACUCCCACGACCAGUGCGGGUCACAGCACAGGCGACAGAAGCUAUGGCAGAGGCACCUGAACCCUCUCGGAGGGGAAAGCCAGGCUCCCAACCUCAGCUCGCCGCCUGGAGCCGGGAACCGAGGAGAGCAGGGCCUUCGCCCUCCCCGAUGGACACUCGGCAGGCCCCGCCCAGCGCCCCUGAUUGGACGAAGCGCCGGGCCCCGCCCCCUCAGCCGUGAGUGACAAUAGAAGCCCUUGGUAACGGGGCUCUGAAAACGGGUUUGACCGGAUCCAGCGAUAGAUUCUUUAAGCCAGAGUUUUGAGUCAGGGUCUCACCCUGUGGCCCAGGCUGCCCUCCAGUGAUGCCAUCAUGACUCAGUGCAACCUCAAACUCCCAGGUUCAAGCGAUCUUCCAUCCUGACCUCCAAAAGGGCUGGAUUAUACACAUAAGCCAUGUCACACUUUAUAUGUUUCUAGGGAAGCUUUUCUAAGAAUAAAUACAUUGGAACU